UAAUACAGAGGGUGCAAGCGUUAUUCGGAGUUACUGGGCGUAAAGAGCUCGUAGGCGGUUCUUCAAGUCUGAUGUGAAAUCCCUGGACUCAAUCCAGGAAGUGCAUUGGAUACUGCUGAACUAGAGUAUAGGAGAGGAAAGCGGAAUUCCAGGUGUAGAGGUGAAAUUCGUAGAUAUCUGGAGGAACAACAGUGGCGAAGGCGGCUUUCUGGACUAUAACUGACGCUGAGGAGCGAAAGCGUGGGGAGCAAACAGG
This 256-nucleotide ribosomal RNA is filed under the name uncultured bacterium. Its description in RNAcentral is "partial 16S ribosomal RNA". It matches the Rfam family "Bacterial small subunit ribosomal RNA", at positions 521 to 776 of the family's 1533-position model. The record is from RNAcentral.